AGCCCGUCACACCGCACACGGUGAAGCUAUUUUCAUAUAUUGCCUAAUGCAUAAUGGGCUCAACUACAGCUAACAGCUGUGAGCUGGAACCAAUAUUGUUACUGCGUGCUGAACAUGAGUUUGAGUGUCUUUUUAAAGAGGAUACGUUCAUGAAGUGGGUAUAUUACAGUAGAUAAAAUAAACAGAUGUGCUUUACAUAAAUUGGUGAAAUAACAUUUCGGCACACAAACUGUUUGUAUACAUCUAAUAAACUAUUUUAAAAUUACACACAACCCUUUAAUUUGCACACCUUUUACAUUUUAAAAGGAAUGAUCUGAAGUUCAAUCGAAACCAGGAAACUGGGCAGAUAGUCGAGGAGUUCUCGAGUGUGAGAGAGGCCGGCGCGACGACACGACGACACGACGACGCGACGACACGACGACG
Colias croceus (clouded yellow) is the source of this 423-nucleotide long non-coding RNA. RefSeq lists it as uncharacterized. The transcript has 3 exons. Lineage: Eukaryota; Metazoa; Arthropoda; Insecta; Lepidoptera; Pieridae. The record is from RefSeq and is a predicted model, not a curated record.